CAGGUGCUGCAUGGCUGUCGUCAGCUCGUGUUGUGAAAUGUUGGGUUAAGUCCCGCAACGAGCGCAACCCUUAUCCUUGUUUGCCAGCGAGUAAUGUCGGGAACUCCAGGGAGACUGCCGGUGAUAAACCGGAGGAAGGUGGGGACGACGUCAAGUCAUCAUGGCCCUUACGAGUAGGGCUACACACGUGCUACAAUGGCGCAUACAGAGGGCGGCCAACUUGCGAAAGUGAGCGAAUCCCAAAAAGUGCGUCGUAGUCCGGAUUGGAGUCUGCAACUCGACUCCAUGAAGUCGGAAUCGCUAGUAAUCGUGGAUCAGAAUGCCACGGUGAAUACGUUCCCGGGCCUUGUACACACCGCCCGUCACACCAUGGGAGUGGGCUGCAAAAGAAGUGGGUAGUUUAACCUUCGGGAGGACGCUCACCACUUUGUGGUUCAUGACUGGGGUGAAGUCGUAACAAGGUAGCGCUAGGGGAACCUGGCGCUGGAUCACCUCCU
Molecule: ribosomal RNA, 497 nt
Filed under: Vibrio vulnificus
Lineage: Bacteria; Pseudomonadati; Pseudomonadota; Gammaproteobacteria; Vibrionales; Vibrionaceae
Description: bacterial SSU rRNA
Rfam family: Bacterial small subunit ribosomal RNA
Source: RNAcentral